RNAcentral lists this ribosomal RNA (377 nucleotides) under Vibrio cholerae. RNAcentral's name for it is "partial 23S ribosomal RNA". It matches the Rfam family "Bacterial large subunit ribosomal RNA", at positions 2182 to 2558 of the family's 2925-position model. The record is from RNAcentral. Lineage: Bacteria; Pseudomonadati; Pseudomonadota; Gammaproteobacteria; Vibrionales; Vibrionaceae.
GGAGCCGUCCUUGAAAUACCACCCUUGUAUGUUUGAUGUUCUAACUUAGCCCCAUUAUCUGGGGUGAGGACAGUGCCUGGUGGGUAGUUUGACUGGGGCGGUCUCCUCCCAAAGAGUAACGGAGGAGCACGAAGGUGGGCUAAUCACGGUUGGACAUCGUGAGGUUAGUGCAAUGGCAUAAGCCCGCUUAACUGCGAGAAUGACGGUUCGAGCAGGUGCGAAAGCAGGUCAUAGUGAUCCGGUGGUUCUGUAUGGAAGGGCCAUCGCUCAACGGAUAAAAGGUACUCCGGGGAUAACAGGCUGAUACCGCCCAAGAGUUCAUAUCGACGGCGGUGUUUGGCACCUCGAUGUCGGCUCAUCACAUCCUGGGGCUGAAG